This 219-nucleotide long non-coding RNA is filed under the name Elaeis guineensis (African oil palm). RNAcentral's name for it is "long non-coding RNA (EGUI_LNC043517)". The record is from RNAcentral. Lineage: Eukaryota; Viridiplantae; Streptophyta; Magnoliopsida; Arecales; Arecaceae.
ACUCACUCUGUCAUGAUCAUGAUCUUUUAAACUCAGUCUUAUAAAUUACAUAGGACUACUCCUUAACUACUAAGAUCGAUAUAUCCCAUCUGAGUGUGCAUCCUACUCCUAUAGCGAACCUACUGUAGCCGACAUACACUAUGAGCACCCAUAUGGCUAGGGAUCAAAUUUAUGUGCAGUCAAACUAUAGCAACCUACUAUAAGUAGUCGAGACACCAC